AUUAAGAUGGCAGAGCCCGGUAAUUGCACAAGACUUAAACCCUUGCUGUCAGAGGUUCAAUCCCUCUUCUUAAUA
Molecule: transfer RNA, 75 nt
Filed under: Echinops telfairi (small Madagascar hedgehog)
Lineage: Eukaryota; Metazoa; Chordata; Mammalia; Afrosoricida; Tenrecidae
Description: tRNA-Leu (UUR)
Rfam family: tRNA
About the family: Transfer RNA (tRNA) molecules are approximately 80 nucleotides in length. Their secondary structure includes four short double-helical elements and three loops (D, anti-codon, and T loops).
Source: RNAcentral